UGUGAACAGUCCUGGGCCUCUCCUGGACAGUAAAACCAAGCAAUAAACAGCUGUGUGUUUUGUGACUAGAUGGGACUGAAGUUUCCUUUGAAGAUGUGAUCCUGCUGACCUUAUUAAAAAUACAAUGCAAGGAGCUACCUUGGAGCAGGUUGAUGGGGAAGAAGGACAAGCUAUACUUUUCCCUUUGCUGCUUCCUUUGAAAGGGGAAAUGCAUGCUUCUGUACAUGGAGUCAUCAUGAGGAGGCUUCGAUGAGAAUAUUGUUCACUGUAAGCACAAAUAAAAACCAACAUCCUCUGA
Molecule: long non-coding RNA, 298 nt
Organism: Harpia harpyja (harpy eagle)
Lineage: Eukaryota; Metazoa; Chordata; Aves; Accipitriformes; Accipitridae
Exons: 2
Source: RefSeq, a predicted model, not a curated record